AGCAGCCGCGGUAAUUCCAGCUCCAAGAGCAUAUAUUAAAGUUGUUGCAGUUAAAAAGCUCGUAGUUGAAUUUCGGGAUCAAUUUAUUGGUCGUGCUAUUGUACGUACUGGUAUUAUUGAUUCCUACCUUCUGACGAACCAUGAUGUCAUUAAUUUGGUGUUAUGGGAAGUUAGGACUGUUACUUUGAAAAAAU
RNAcentral lists this ribosomal RNA (194 nucleotides) under uncultured Glomus. RNAcentral's name for it is "partial 18S ribosomal RNA". It matches the Rfam family "Eukaryotic small subunit ribosomal RNA", at positions 569 to 766 of the family's 1831-position model. The record is from RNAcentral. Lineage: Eukaryota; Fungi; Glomeromycota; Glomeromycetes; Glomerales; Glomeraceae.